This 497-nucleotide ribosomal RNA is filed under the name uncultured bacterium. Its description in RNAcentral is "partial 16S ribosomal RNA". It matches the Rfam family "Bacterial small subunit ribosomal RNA", at positions 28 to 507 of the family's 1533-position model. The record is from RNAcentral.
GAUGAACGCUGGCGGCGUGCCUAAUACAUGCAAGUCGAGCGAACGGACGAGAAGCUUGCUUCUCUGAUGUUAGCGGCGGACGGGUGAGUAACACGUGGAUAACCUACCUAUAAGACUGGGAUAACUUCGGGAAACCGGAUCUAAUACCGGAUGAUAUUUUGAACCGCAUGGUUCAAAAGUGAAAGACGUUCUUGCUGUCACUUAUAGAUGGAUCCGCGCUGCAUUAGCUAGUUGGUAAGGUAACGGCUUACCAAGGCAACGAUGCAUAGCCGACCUGAGAGGGUGAUCGGCCACACUGGAACUGAGACACGGUCCAGACUCCUACGGGAGGCAGCAGUAGGGAAUCUUCCGCAAUGGGCGAAAGCCUGACGGAGCAACGCCGCGUGAGUGAUGAAGGUCUUCGGAUCGUAAAACUCUGUUAUUAGGGAAGAACAUAUGUGUAAGUAACUGUGCACAUCUUGACGGUACCUAAACAGAAAGCCACGGCUAACUACGUG